This 484-nucleotide ribosomal RNA is filed under the name uncultured bacterium. RNAcentral describes it as "partial 16S ribosomal RNA". It matches the Rfam family "Bacterial small subunit ribosomal RNA", at positions 30 to 507 of the family's 1533-position model. The record is from RNAcentral.
AUUGAACGCUGGCGGCAGGCCUAACACAUGCAAGUCGAGCGGAUGAAGGGAGCUUGCUCCUGGAUUCAGCGGCGGACGGGUGAGUAAUGCCUAGGAAUCUGCCUGGUAGUGGGGGAUAACGUCCGGAAACGGGCGCUAAUACCGCAUACGUCCUGAGGGAGAAAGUGGGGGAUCUUCGGACCUCACGCUAUCAGAUGAGCCUAGGUCGGAUUAGCUAGUUGGUGGGGUAAAGGCCUACCAAGGCGACGAUCCGUAACUGGUCUGAGAGGAUGAUCAGUCACACUGGAACUGAGACACGGUCCAGACUCCUACGGGAGGCAGCAGUGGGGAAUAUUGGACAAUGGGCGAAAGCGUGAUCCAGCCAUGCCGCGUGUGUGAAGAAGGUCUUCGGAUUGUAAAGCACUUUAAGUUGGGAGGAAGGGCAGUAAGUUAAUACCUUGCUGUUUUGACGUUACCAACAGAAUAAGCACCGGCUAACUUCGUG